AGUAGAGUCAGCUAAUUAAGCUCUUGGGCCCAUACCCCAAAAAUGUGGGUUAAACCCCCCCCUUUACUA
RNAcentral lists this transfer RNA (69 nucleotides) under Solenostomus paradoxus (harlequin ghost pipefish). RNAcentral describes it as "tRNA-Met". It matches the Rfam family "tRNA". From Rfam's summary of the family: Transfer RNA (tRNA) molecules are approximately 80 nucleotides in length. Their secondary structure includes four short double-helical elements and three loops (D, anti-codon, and T loops). Further hydrogen bonds mediate the characteristic L-shaped molecular structure. tRNAs have two regions of fundamental functional importance: the anti-codon, which is responsible for specific mRNA codon recognition, and the 3' end, to which the tRNAs corresponding amino acid is attached (by aminoacyl-tRNA synthetases). tRNAs cope with the degeneracy of the genetic code in two manners: having more than one tRNA (with a specific anti-codon) for a particular amino acid; and 'wobble' base-pairing, i.e. permitting non-standard base-pairing at the 3rd anti-codon position. The record is from RNAcentral. Lineage: Eukaryota; Metazoa; Chordata; Actinopteri; Syngnathiformes; Solenostomidae.